GGCCUUGAAGGUCUUAUUACAAGCUGUGUUCUUACGCUAACUGUGCGGAAAGAGCAGUCAGAGGAAACCUACCCUGUUGUAUCUCAGCCCAGGUCCUGGAAUGUGCUAGGAAAAUCCUGC
This 120-nucleotide small nucleolar RNA is filed under the name Cavia aperea (Brazilian guinea pig). Its description in RNAcentral is "Small nucleolar RNA SNORA51 (ENSCAPG00000002166.1)". Lineage: Eukaryota; Metazoa; Chordata; Mammalia; Rodentia; Caviidae. The record is from RNAcentral.